Molecule: ribosomal RNA, 253 nt
Filed under: uncultured bacterium
Lineage: Bacteria
Description: partial 16S ribosomal RNA
Rfam family: Bacterial small subunit ribosomal RNA
Source: RNAcentral
UACAGAGGUGCCAAGCGUUGUUCGGAUUUAUUGGGCGUAAAGGGUGCGUAGGCGGUGAUGCAAGUUGGAUGUGAAAGCCCGGAGCCUAACUCCGGAAUGGCAUUCAAAACUGCAUCGCUCGAGGUCUGGAGAGGUGACUGGAAUUCUCGGUGUAGCAGUGAAAUGCGUAGAUAUCGAGAGGAACACCAGAGGCGAAGGCGAGUCACUGGACAGAACCUGACGCUGAGGCACGAAAGCCAGGGGAGCAAACGGG